RNAcentral lists this ribosomal RNA (502 nucleotides) under uncultured bacterium. Its description in RNAcentral is "bacterial SSU rRNA". It matches the Rfam family "Bacterial small subunit ribosomal RNA", at positions 37 to 507 of the family's 1533-position model. The record is from RNAcentral.
UGGCGGCGUGCUUAACACAUGCAAGUCGAACGAGAGGAGAAGGAAGCUUGCUUCUUUCAAAUCUAGUGGCAAACGGGUGAGUAACACGUAAACAACCUGCCUUCAGGAUGGGGACAACAGACGGAAACGACUGCUAAUACCGAAUACGUUCCUUAGGUCGCAUGACUUUAGGAAGAAAGGGUGGCCUCUACUUGUAAGCUAUCGCUUUACGAUGGGUCUGCGUCUGAUUAGCUAGUUGGUGGGGUAACGGCCUACCAAGGCGACGAUCAGUAGCCGGUCUGAGAGGAUGAACGGCCACAUUGGAACUGAGACACGGUCCAGACUCCUACGGGAGGCAGCAGUGGGGAAUCUUCCGCAAUGGGCGCAAGCCUGACGGAGCAACGCCGCGUGAGUGAAGAAGGGUUUCGACUCGUAAAGCUCUGUUGUCGGGGACGAAUGUGGAGGUUGUGAAUAACAGCUUCCAAUGACGGUACCUGACGAGGAAGCCACGGCUAACUACGUG